Molecule: ribosomal RNA, 482 nt
Filed under: uncultured bacterium
Lineage: Bacteria
Description: partial 16S ribosomal RNA
Rfam family: Bacterial small subunit ribosomal RNA
Source: RNAcentral
AUUGAACGCUGGCGGCAUGCCUUACACAUGCAAGUCGAACGGUAACAGGUCUUCGGAUGCUGACGAGUGGCGAACGGGUGAGUAAUACAUCGGAACGUGCCCGAUCGUGGGGGAUAACGAGGCGAAAGCUUUGCUAAUACCGCAUACGACCUACGGAUGAAAGCGGGGGAUCUUCGGACCUCGCGCGGACGGAGCGGCCGAUGGCAGAUUAGGUAGUUGGUGGGAUAAAAGCUUACCAAGCCGACGAUCUGUAGCUGGUCUGAGAGGAUGAUCAGCCACACUGGGACUGAGACACGGCCCAGACUCCUACGGGAGGCAGCAGUGGGGAAUUUUGGACAAUGGGCGAAAGCCUGAUCCAGCCAUGCCGCGUGCAGGAUGAAGGCCUUCGGGUUGUAAACUGCUUUUGUACGGAACGAAAAGCCUCUUUCUAAUAAAGAGGGGUCAUGACGGUACCGUAAGAAUAAGCACCGGCUAACUACGUG